Molecule: ribosomal RNA, 467 nt
Filed under: uncultured bacterium
Lineage: Bacteria
Description: partial 16S ribosomal RNA
Rfam family: Bacterial small subunit ribosomal RNA
Source: RNAcentral
GACGAACGCUGGCGGCGUGCUUAACACAUGCAAGUCGAACGGAAAGGCCCUGCUUUUGUGGGGUGCUCGAGUGGCGAACGGGUGAGUAACACGUGAGUAACCUGCCCUUGACUUUGGGAUAACUUCAGGAAACUGGGGCUAAUACCGGAUAGGAGCUCCUGCUGCAUGGUGGGGGUUGGAAAGUUUCGGCGGUUGGGGAUGGACUCGCGGCUUAUCAGCUUGUUGGUGGGGUAGUGGCUUACCAAGGCUUUGACGGGUAGCCGGCCUGAGAGGGUGACCGGCCCCAUGGGGACGGGGAUACGGCCCAGCCUCCUCGGGGGGGGAGGAGGGGGGAAUAUUGCACAAGGGGGGGAGGCCUGGUCCAGCAACCCGGCGGGCGGGAUGACGGCCUUCGGGUGGAAACCCGCUUUCGCCUGGGACGAAGCGUGAGUGGCGGUAAUGGGUAAAGAAGCCCCGGCUAACUCCGU